Molecule: unclassified non-coding RNA, 331 nt
Filed under: soil metagenome
Description: partial contains 5.8S ribosomal RNA, internal transcribed spacer 2, and large subunit ribosomal RNA
Rfam family: 5.8S ribosomal RNA (bases 1-120)
Source: RNAcentral
GAUGAAGAACGUAGCGAAAUGCGACAAGUAAUGUGAAUUGCAGAAUUCAGUGAAUCAUCGAAUCUUUGAACGCACAUUGCGCCCCCUGGUAUUCCGGGGGGCAUGCCUGUUCGAGCGUCAUUUCACCACUCAAGCCUCGCUUGGUAUUGGGCAACGCGGUCCGCCGCGUGCCUCAAAUCGACCGGCUGGGUCUUCUGUCCCCUAAGCGUUGUGGAAACUAUUCGCUAAAGGGUGUUCGGGAGGCUACGCCGUAAAACAACCCCAUUUCUAAGGUUGACCUCGGAUCAGGUAGGGAUACCCGCUGAACUUAAGCAUAUCAAUAAGCGGAGGA